Molecule: ribosomal RNA, 446 nt
Filed under: uncultured bacterium
Lineage: Bacteria
Description: partial 16S ribosomal RNA
Rfam family: Bacterial small subunit ribosomal RNA
Source: RNAcentral
CCUACGGGAGGCAGCAGUCGAGAAUCAUUCACAAUGGGGGAAACCCUGAUGGUGCGACGCCGCGUGGGGGAAUGAAGGUCUUCGGAUUGUAAACCCCUGUCAUGUGGGAGCAAAUUAAAAAGAUAGUACCACAACAGGAAGAGACGGCUAAAUCUGUGCCAGCAGCCGCGGUACUACAGAGGUCUCAAGCGGUGUUCGGAAUCACUGGGCGUAAAGCGUGCGUAGGCUGUUGCGGAAGUCGUGUGUGAAAGGCGCGGGCUCAACCCGCGGACGGCACAUGAUACUGCGAGACUAGAGUAAUGGAGGGGGAACCGGAAUUCUCGGUGUAGCAGUGAAAUGCGUAGAUAUCGAGAGGAACACUCGUGGCGAAGGCGGGUUCCUGGACAUUAACUGACGCUGAGGCACGAAGGCCAGGGGAGCGAAAGGGAUUAGAUACCCGUGUAGUC